Molecule: RNA transcript, 9361 nt
Organism: Mus musculus (house mouse)
Lineage: Eukaryota; Metazoa; Chordata; Mammalia; Rodentia; Muridae
Gene: Kidins220
Gene name: kinase D-interacting substrate 220
Exons: 33
Source: RefSeq, marked validated
ACCACGUGACCUGUCAGUUCCUGACUCCUAGGAAGAUGGCCGCCGGGCGUGGUGCGGGCAUAGCUGUGUGCUCUUGGCGUCUUGUCCUCUGACAAGGUCUGCGGCGCUGUUCUGCAGAGCUGAGGGCGCCGUCUUCGGCCAGGCCGUGACACGGUGAAUUAAAGUCGGCUAUAGAUUUCUGUGAAAAUGUCGGUUCUUAUAUCACAGAGUGUGAUAAAUUAUGUGGAAGAAGAGAAUAUUCCUGCUCUGAAAGCCCUUCUUGAGAAGUGCAAAGAUGUAGAUGAGAGGAACGAGUGUGGCCAGACGCCACUGAUGAUAGCUGCUGAACAGGGCAAUGUGGAAAUAGUGAAAGAACUCAUUAAGAAUGGAGCCAACUGCAACCUGGAAGACCUGGAUAACUGGACUGCGCUUAUAUCAGCAUCUAAAGAGGGGCACAUCCACAUUGUGGAAGAGCUGCUGAAGUGUGGGGCCAAUCUGGAGCACCGUGACAUGGGGGGAUGGACAGCUCUCAUGUGGGCGUGCUACAAAGGCAGGACGGAUGUUGUGGAGUUGCUUCUUUCUCAUGGUGCCAACCCAAGUGUCACUGGUUUGCAGUACAGUGUCUACCCAAUCAUCUGGGCAGCGGGCAGAGGCCACGCCGACAUAGUGCAUCUUCUGCUGCAGAAUGGUGCGAAAGUCAAUUGCUCUGAUAAGUAUGGAACAACUCCUUUGGUGUGGGCUGCCCGAAAGGGUCAUUUGGAAUGUGUGAAGCAUUUGUUGGCCAUGGGAGCUGAUGUUGAUCAAGAAGGAGCUAAUUCGAUGACUGCACUGAUUGUGGCAGUGAAAGGGGGCUACACACAGUCAGUGAAGGAGAUUCUGAAAAGGAAUCCAAACGUGAACCUGACUGAUAAGGACGGAAACACAGCCCUGAUGAUUGCGUCGAAGGAGGGACAUAUAGAAAUUGUGCAGGACCUGUUGGACGCCGGAACAUACGUGAACAUACCUGACAGGAGUGGGGAUACUGUAUUGAUUGGCGCUGUGAGAGGUGGUCAUGUUGAAAUUGUUCGAGCACUUCUCCAAAAAUACGCUGAUAUAGACAUUAGAGGGCAGGACAAUAAGACUGCACUGUAUUGGGCUGUUGAGAAAGGCAAUGCGACAAUGGUGAGAGAUAUCCUGCAGUGCAAUCCUGAUACGGAAAUAUGCACGAAGGAUGGCGAGACACCACUAAUAAAGGCCACCAAGAUGAGAAAUAUUGAAGUGGUGGAGCUGCUGCUGGAUAAGGGGGCUAGGGUGUCUGCUGUGGACAAGAAAGGUGACACUCCCCUGCACGUUGCCAUCCGAGGGAGGAGCCGGAGACUGGCAGAACUUCUUUUACGGAACCCCAAAGAUGGACGGUUACUUUACAGGCCCAACAAAGCAGGCGAGACUCCCUACAACAUUGACUGCAGCCACCAGAAAAGCAUUUUAACUCAAAUAUUUGGAGCCAGACACUUGUCUCCUACGGAAACAGACGGUGACAUGCUUGGUUACGAUUUGUAUAGCAGCGCCCUGGCAGAUAUUCUCAGUGAGCCCACCAUGCAGCCACCCAUCUGUGUGGGCUUGUAUGCACAGUGGGGAAGUGGGAAGUCCUUCUUACUCAAGAAACUAGAAGAUGAAAUGAAGACGUUUGCAGGGCAGCAGAUUGAGCCCCUUUUCCAGUUCUCGUGGCUCAUCGUGUUCCUCAUCCUGCUGCUGUGUGGGGGGCUCGGCCUGGUGUUUGCUUUCACAGUUGAUACAAACCUCGCCAUAGCGGUUUCAUUGAGUUUCCUAGCUCUCUUAUACAUAUUCUUCAUCGUCAUUUACUUCGGUGGACGGCAGGAAGGAGAGAGUUGGAACUGGGCCUGGGCUCUCAGCACCAGACUGGCAAGGCACAUUGGGUACCUGGAGCUCCUCUUCAAGCUGAUGUUUGUGAACCCACCCGAACUACCAGAGCAAACGACAAAGGCUUUGCCUGUGAGGUUUCUGUUUACAGAUUACAAUAGACUCUCCAGUGUUGGGGGAGAGACUUCCUUGGCUGAAAUGAUCGCGACCCUCUCAGAUGCUUGUGAGAGAGAAUUCGGCUUUCUGGCUACCCGGCUGUUUCGAGUAUUUAAGACUGAAGAUUCUCAGGGUAAAAAGAAAUGGAAAAAAACAUGCUGUCUCCCGUCUUUUAUAAUCUUUCUUUUUAUUGUUGGCUGCAUUAUUGCUGGAAUUACUCUUUUGGCUAUAUUCCGAGUUGACCCAAAACAUCUGACAGUGAAUGCUAUCCUCAUAUCCAUUGCAUCUAUCGUGGGGUUGGCCUUUGUGCUGAACUGUCGAACAUGGUGGCAAGUGCUGGACUCUCUCCUGAAUUCUCAGAGAAAACGCCUCCAUAGUGCUGCCUCCAAAUUACAUAAGCUGAAAAGUGAAGGAUUCAUGAAAGUCCUGAAGUGUGAGGUGGAGCUGAUGGCCAGGAUGGCCAAGACCAUCGACAGCUUCACGCAGAAUCAGACGAGGCUGGUGGUUAUCAUUGACGGCCUGGACGCCUGUGAGCAAGAUAAAGUGCUGCAGAUGCUGGACACUGUCCGAGUUCUGUUUUCAAAGGGCCCUUUUAUUGCCAUUUUUGCAAGUGAUCCACAUAUUAUUAUAAAGGCCAUCAACCAGAACCUGAAUAGUGUGCUUCGUGAUUCAAAUAUAAAUGGACAUGACUAUAUGCGCAAUAUAGUUCAUUUACCAGUUUUCCUUAAUAGUCGUGGGCUUAGCAAUGCAAGAAAAUUUCUUGUAACUUCAGCAACAAAUGGGGACAUUUCGUGCUCAGAAGCAACAGGAGUGCAGGAGGAUGCUGACAGAAGAGUUUCACAGAACAGCCUUGGGGAGAUGACAAAGCUUGGUAGCAAAACGGCCCUCAACAGAAGGGAUACUUACCGCAGAAGGCAGAUGCAGAGAACCAUCACGAGGCAGAUGUCCUUUGAUCUCACAAAGCUGCUGGUUACUGAGGAUUGGUUCAGUGACAUCAGUCCACAAACCAUGAGACGGUUACUCAAUAUUGUUUCGGUGACAGGGCGGCUACUAAGAGCCAAUCAGAUUACUUUCAACUGGGACAGGCUAGCCAGCUGGAUCAACCUUACUGAGCAGUGGCCAUACCGGACGUCCUGGCUCAUACUAUAUCUGGGAGAGACUGAAGGUAUUCCUGACCAGAUGACGCUAAAGACCAUCUAUGAGAGAAUAUCAAAGAAUAUCCCAACAACUAAAGAUGUUGAGCCACUUCUUGAAAUUGAUGGAGAUAUAAGAAAUUUUGAAGUGUUUUUGUCUUCAAGGACUCCAGUUCUUGUGGCUCGAGAUGUAAAGACCUUUUUGCCAUGCACGGUAAACCUGGAUCCCAAACUACGGGAGAUCAUUGCAGAUGUUCGAGCUGCAAGAGAACAGAUCAACAUAGGAGGCCUUGCGUAUCCCCCGCUCCCUCUGCACGAAGCCCCUCCUCGGCCUCCUUCUGGGUACAGUCAGCCUGCAUCUGUCUGCUCCUCCUCAGCAUCUUUCAAUGGGCCGUUCCCAGGCGGCGUUGUGUCCCCACAGCCCCACAGCAGCUACUACAGCGGCCUGUCGGGACCCCAGCACCCUUUCUACAACAGGCCAUUCUUUGCCCCAUACCUUUACACGCCAAGGUAUUACCCUGGCGGUUCCCAACAUCUCAUCUCACGUUCAUCAGUAAAAACGAGUUUGCCCAGAGAUCAGAACAAUGGCCUAGAGGUAAUCAAGGAGGAUGCUGCUGAGGGCCUUCCUUCACCCACAGCCUCCUCGAGGGAGAAGAGCUGGACAAGAAAGCAGCUGAUGGAGCUGUGUGACUCUGGGUUUAACAAACAGAGACAGGCAUCCGUCCCUGCCACAGGCACCUCUCUGUUACUGAGUUCAAUGACUGUGGAUAUCGUGUGUGAGAAACUGAGACAGAUAGAAGGGCUGGACCAGGGCAUGCUGCCUCAGUAUUGCACAACCAUCAAAAAGGCAAACAUAAAUGGCCGGGUAUUGGCUCAGUGUAAUAUUGAUGAGCUGAAGAAAGAGAUGGCUAUGAACUUUGGAGACUGGCAUCUUUUUAGAAGCAUGGUCUUAGAAAUGAGAAGUGUGGAAAACCAGGUGGUCCCCGAAGACCCACGUUUUCUCAAUGAAAACUCCAGUGCCCCCGUUGCUCAUGGGGAAUCUGCUCGCCGCACUUCUCACAGUGAACUGCCCCACACGGAGCUUUCCAGCCAGACUCCCUACACCCUGAACUUCAGCUUUGAAGAACUGAACACGCUUGGCCUAGACGAGGGAGCCCCACGGCACAGUAAUCUGAGUUGGCAGUCACAAACUCGCAGAACCCCAAGUCUCUCGAGUCUCAAUUCCCAGGACUCCAGUAUUGAAAUUUCAAAGCUUACUGAUAAGGUGCAGGCCGAGUAUAGAGAUGCCUAUAGAGAGUACAUUGCUCAGAUGUCCCAGUUAGAAGGGGGCACAGGGUCGUCAACAAUAAGCGGCAGAUCUUCUCCACACAGCACAUACUACAUAGGUCAGAGUUCUUCAGGGGGCUCCAUUCAUUCUAAUCUAGAACAAGAAAGGGGGAAGGAGAAUGAGCUAAAGCAGGAGGAGGGGCGGAAGUCAUUUUUAAUGAAGAGGGGGGAUGUCCUAGAUUACUCCUCAUCAGGGGUGUCCACUAAUGAGGCCUCACCCCUGGACCCCAUUACUGAGGAAGAUGAGAAAUCCGACCAGUCAGGUAGUAAGCUGCUCCCAGGCAAGAAGUCUUCAGAACGGCCUAGUCUCUUCCAGACAGACUUGAAGCUUAAGGGAAGUGGUCUGCGCUACCAGAAACUGCCCAGUGAUGAAGAUGAGUCUGGGACAGAAGAGUCAGAUAAUACCCCACUGCUCAAAGAUGAUAAGGAUAAAAAGGCCGAAGGCAAAGCAGAGAGAGUGGCUAAGUCUCCAGAGCACAGCGUCGAGCCUAUCAGAACAUUCAUCAAAGCAAAAGAGUAUUUGUCGGACGCCCUCCUCGACAAGAAAGAUUCCUCCGAUUCGGGAGUGAGGUCCAAUGAGAGUUCUCCCAACCACUCUCUCCACAAUGAGGCAGCGGAUGACUCCCAGCUGGAAAAGGCGAAUCUCAUCGAGCUUGAAGAUGAGGGCCACAGUGGGAAGCGAGGGAUGCCACACAGUCUGAGUGGCCUGCAAGAUCCUGUCAUAGCUCGGAUGUCCAUUUGCUCGGAAGACAAGAAAAGCCCCUCUGAGUGCAGCCUGAUCGCUAGCAGCCCUGAAGAAAGCUGGCCUUCGUGCCAGAAGGCCUACAAUCUAAACCGAACACCCAGCACUGUGACUCUGAACAACAACACUGCGCCCACCAACAGAGCCAAUCAGAACUUUGAUGAGAUAGAGGGAGUCAGGGAAACAUCCCAGGUCAUUUUGAGGCCUGGGCCCAGUCCCAACCCAACUGCUGUGCAGAAUGAAAACCUGAAGAGCAUGGCGCACAAGCGAAGCCAGCGCUCCAGUUACACCAGGCUCUCGAAAGAUGCGUCUGAGCUGCAUGCAGCCUCCUCAGAUAGCACGGGCUUUGGGGAAGAGAGAGAAAGCAUUCUCUGAGGAAGAGAGAAGUGAAGUAGCGUUGUCCUACCUGAGGACAAGAGUGUCAUAAGCUUUGAGUUGACCCAUCCUCAUUACUCAUCGUGUUUAUGCAUCACAGACACCUGAUAGGUGGCAGGCACUGGGGAAGCAGACGGGAAAGCCUGACAGGACGGUCACCAGUCAUCUCCAUUGUCACCGUCACCACAGGCACUUUAACGUCUCACUACCACUGCUGUGCCCUUUCCUGACGCACAGCUCUGCAGAGAUGAGAUCAGGCUGAAUACAGAGAGAGGUCGGAAAUGUAUUUAAAUUGAAAGGGCUUAAGUCACAAGGAAAUAAACCCAGAGAUCUCCUUUAUAAACUAUUCAUGUAACAUUUGAGGGGAGAUAUAGUAUUAGAUGAAGCAGAAACCAAUUUCACUGGUAGUGUUUAAUCUUGGUGCAGAUUUAUAGGUUUUAGAGUAGCCCAGAAACUAAAAGUGAAUACCUAGCAAAUGGAUAGCCAGUGUUCUGUAUAAGAAUCAUUGCUUUUAAGAGGUCUUAAAAUUUAAGUAGAAAAUACAUACUAAAGAGGGCGUAAAAGUUGAUGAUUAAGUGAGUUAGCAGAGCCCAAAGCAGUGGCCUGGGCCAUGGUGAGUCGUUAGCAGAGGAGUUGGAGGAGGGCAGUGUAUUCCUGGGAUACUCUUUCCAACCCAGCCCUGGCUUCCGACACCACCCACCUGUGCCCUCAAAACCAUCUUAGUCUGUUCUGCAGCUACUAAGUAAUGCUCAUGGCUAAAGAAAAGUUAGUGGUACUGGUGAUGAAACGCAGGACCUCACAGAUCUAAGUCCUCUAGUGACUAGCUACGUCCCCAGCCCCAAGUGCUAGGCCUUUCCUUCCUCCAGAGAUUUGGGAAGACAUUAAAGGAGUUAGUGACGGUGGUACUAGACAAAUGACAGUAUUUAGUUUGCUAACAUUAAAUCACUGCCUCUGUACUGCAAUUAUUUAACGUAUCUGUUCCUAAAUCAGCAUUUUAGUUCUGGGGAGGGGGGUGGAUUAUAAAAAUGGAGGCAUGGUUUUAAAAAGGAAUUUGAAAGCAUACAACAAAGCAAGAAUAGAGGCGGAGCUGGUGUGACCUUGACACUUUUAUUAUUCUUAGCAGAGCUAGGAGAAUGACCACAUACAUUUAGGCUAGAGGUGUGCCUGUCUUCAUCCUGCAUUGAAACUGUUUGUCAUUUGAUCAUAGUGUGUUUACGUAGAUCAGCUCUAGUGGUGUGUCCUGAGCCAUGGGUAGAAUUGUAGAUGGUAAGGUUGCAGGCUUAGUGCUCAGUGAGAUGUCCAUCACUGACUGGACCUGUGUGGUUCACUUGACACUGUGCUCAUAGCUGCUCCGUGUCCCACUGCCUUGCUGUUUGAGUGUAAUUGAGCAUUUUCAUGAAGUGCAUAUGUUGCAUGAUCUUUAACAGGUAUUUUUAAACAUUAAAAACAGCACGAUGUUACUGACAUUAUGCAAUAUCAUGUGAUGGGUACUUGAGAGGCAGUUUGGUUUCUUUCCAGGUGAGUAGUUAUAGCUCACGGUCAUGGGAGCCCUUUAUUCACACUGUCUGUGAAGUUAAUGCUGGAGUGCCAAGUGCACACGGGGACUAGGAACAAUAAAGAGUUGCAUGCCAUUCUGACUCACGGAGUUUUAUUCACUAUAGCAAUGACAAUUCCCAUUCUGAUUAAAAAUUAAAACAUGAUCUGUGUGUCUGUUUUGUCCUAUGACUGGAGUAUGUAAAGACUUACAUGUAGGUCAUGAAAUUUUCAGAAUUUCCAGGCAGCCCUUAUUGUCUUUCUGAGAGAGGUUGGCUCCGAAGCCACUGUGCCUGCUUUCUUGAAGCACAGCAUCCCAGAGCACGUGGGCACCACAGCACUGAGAAGUCCAUCUCUGUAGCUAGAGGCAGUGGUCCAGAUCCCUGUAGAAUAGCAGCUUAUUAUGUGUACGUUCUGGACGUUGCUCUCUCCUAUUGACACAGAAAGUGACAGGCCAGAUGGAUCCCCGAGUCACCAUUAUUUCUGAGGCUGCAUGUCAGUGUGUGUCUGUGUCUAUAAUGCAUAGCUCAGUCUGAUUUUCACACAGGAAAAACUGCUUUAAGCUGAAUGAAACAAUAGAAAAGUGAGCCAAGCUUAAACCCUGCCAAUCUCAAAAACUCUGAGUCACUUGGCUCCACCUUCAGCUCUGUUGACAUAGCAUCCUAACACCAACACCGUGGCCUUCUGGAGGGUCAUUUUCUGAGUACAUCUGCAGCCCUGGCUGUCCUGGAACUCACUCACUCUGUAGACCAGGCUGACCUUGAACUCAGAGAGUCACCUGCCUCUGCUCCCCGGUGCCGGGAUUAAAGGCGUGAGUCUACUUUCCCAGUGCUGGAUGACUAAGACGUCUACACUGUGAAUUGUAAGCCUCACUGAGCGUAGUGAUUCUGCCUGUAAUCCCAGUACUCAGGAGACAGAAGCAGGAGAAUCAGGGGUUCAAGGUCAACCUCAGCUACAUAGAGAUUUUGAGACCCGCCUGAGCUGUGUGAGACCCUAUCUCAUAAAACUAAAAAUGCAAAUCUGAAGUAUUUUCAAUAAGAGAACUUGUUUUUGUGUGUUAUUUUGUAUAGGUUUUAAAUAUAGUCAGGAUAAUCUUAAUUGCCUAACCAAAGUAAUUUUAAGAGUUGUUUGUGCUUAAAUAAGUACUCAUCUCGAGAACUUAAGCUAAUUCGCAUGUUCUGGUGCUAUAAUAAAAUAAUCUGUGAUCAUGAUUUUUUUCUUACUAAUCAUUAGAAUUUUUUGAAUGAAAUUAAAUCUUUCUUUUUUCUUUUGGCCUAGCUAAAGUAUUAAAUUUAAAAGGUUUUAAGACCACGUAAUUUUUGGUUACACCAGGAAUUCUCAGCCUCUUUAGAAAUAUCCCUGAAUUAAAAAAAAAAAUCCAUGAAUUCCUGGCAAACUCCUGAAUAGAUCAAUGUACUUUCCAGGAAAAGAGAGCCUAGAGUCCCUUUUAAUUUAUGGGUGAAUGACCUUGAAGGAUUAGGUAGAAAGGAGGGUGCUAUCAAAUUAACAUUUUUGGCAAAUCUGUGCUAUGGGUCCCAUCCUACCUUAUCCCCCGUCUUCUUUCCUGGGCUAAGUAGACACAGCAGAAUGCAAGUGAAUGGGGACCCCCUCGUGCUUGGGGCAGGUGAGCCCUCUGACGUGGCACCCUUGGGCACUCAAGCUGAAGUCUAGGCUGGAGUUACACAGUGAGCUGAGCACUAGAGAUUUACCGAUAGCAGUGAGCUGGCUCUGGACAGGGUUUAAUUGGCUCAUCGCUUGGCAAAGGUUGAGAAUCCCUGGUUGAGACUAAUUAAGUAGAAAGAGAUUUAAAGUCUUACAUAAUGUUAAACCCUUUCCUGCCUAGGAAGAAAAUGCCGCCCCUGUGCUAGAUAGACAGCGGUUCAGAAGAUCCAGUUUAAACUGAGGCAACAAGGGCUCUAGAACCUUAGUAUCUGCCCAUAGACCAAGCAGCGCUUCUUUCUCAUUCUCCUGACAAUUCGGUUAAUUUUCCCAGCUGGCUUCCUCACCACGUAUAAGGGGGUGAAGAAGACACGGCCAUCACUCUAGCCAGAGAAGAAAUGUGUCACCUUAACCAGAUGUAUCUGUUCUCUGUAAUUGUAGGAUUUAAGUUAGGUUUUAAAGAAGUGUUACUUUUAUGAGAUUUUAGGCUAAAGCCCAAUGUAUAGAAAAAAAUUGUAAAUAACCCAGCCUCUCCUCUCAUGUCCUGUAGCAUAUUCUUGGUCAGAUAACUAAUAAAACAUAGAUAUUUUCAAAAUUG